UUCACUUUUAAAAGUCUGCAAGUACUGAGAGCAUUUGGCCAUUUGAUUCACCUUGCUUGAACAGUACACCUGGGUCGGGUACCUGUCAUGUGAUUUACACAGUGAAUGGCCCUGCUUUUGGAGCAAGUUAAUGUUAUAAUAUCCCCAUUUAUAUUCAGAACAGUCAACACUUUUGAGCUCUCAGAAUAAUAAAAGCACCUGCAUUUAAUAUACAUGGAAGAAUGGAAAGGCAAAUAGCAGAUAAGGCACAAUCAGACAUCUCCAAAUUUUAGUGAAAUCUGCUCGACACUUCUGAAUGCCUCUACGUCUCCAUGAUGGAUCAGAAAUAUGCAUAUCUCUACAAGGAUAGCAUGGAAGAAAAGAACUGUCUCUAGGGGCACACAGGUGGCUGCUCUGUGGACAUGUGCCAUCCGAACACGUUCCAGACAACAUAAGCUAAUUCUGGCUAGAAUUUAUUGAUGAAGACUCAGAUCUUGAAAUCUGAAUUUAAAACAACCAGCUUUUGGAUGAGCCAGACCAAGGACCCCCAGGGACCUUAGAAGCAGAAGAUAAUGGACCUUUUCUAUAGAACAUUGGACUCUUUGUUUCUCACCUUUAGUGGCCUGAUGUCAAAUGGGUCAUCUUAGUCAAGAAGGCAGGCAGGACCAUGUAUUACAAGCCUAAUUGCUGGGGAUUUUUCUGUAUCUGAAGCAAUUAUAGGCAAAGGGAAUGUUUAGAAGUAAUAAAAUUUUAAGACUUUAAGGGUGAAUGACAGAUAAACUACACAUAUUUAAAGUAUAUAAUUUGGUAUAUUUUGACAUGUGUGUAUACACACCAGGAAACUAUCACCAUAAUGAAGAAAAUGAAGAUAUCCAUAUCUCUGCUGGUUUCCUUUCGUCCUUUUUUCUUUCUUCUCUCUCAGUCCUGUGUCCCUCUUCCUGUACCCAGGCAUCAGCUGACCUGCUUCUGUCAUUGUGGAUUAGUUUGCACUUUCUAGAAUUUUACUUAAAUGGGAUCAUAAGUUCUUUUCUGACUUUUUUCAUUCAGUGUAAUUAUUUUGAGACUUAUCCAUGCUGUAGUAUUUAUCAGUACCUUAUUGCUUUUUAUGGGUGAUUAAUGUUCCAUUGGCUGGCUAUACUAUAGUUUAUUCAUUAAGCUGUUGAUGACAUUAGGGUUCUAGUUUGAGGCUAUUACUGAUAAAGUUGGUAUGAAUAUUUACAUGCAAGUGUUUUCUUUUAGACAUUUGUUUUCAUUUCUCUUGAGUAAAACCUAGGAGUAGAAUGGCCUGGUAAUCCUGUAGGUGGGUGUUUUACUUUUUCAUCAACUGCCAAGAAGUUUUUCAAAGUGGUUGUAUAAUUUUCUAUUCCUACUGGCAACAUGUGAGAGUUCUGGUUCUCUAUCAUCACUAGCACUUGGUUAUAUCCAGGACUUACUUUUUUUUUAUUAAGUUUAUUGGUACAUUUUAGGUAUACAAUACAGUUACUUUCACCAUUGGUAUCUUGUACCUUUACAUGAUAUAUAUUGGUUCUUAUUUUUUCCCCCUUCUCCUGCCAUCCCUUCAACCCCUCCACCCUUCCCUAUUUACAAAGACUUUGUUUCCAUUUUUUCAUUUUCUCAUAAUUUUUCCUUUCCCUUCUUUCCUUUCCCCUACCCCUCCCACUUUCCCUUCCUCCUUUGAACCUUUUCUUCCUAUUUCACGUUAUCAAUCAUACAUUUUGAUCCUUAUUUAUACUUUUAGUUUCUCACACCAGAGAAACUAUUUGGUAUUUACAUAUGCAUGCCCUGUUUAUUUCACUUAAGAGUUGCAUAUCGAGGCCAUACUUUAAGUGAAAUAAAUGGGACACAUGUGUAAAUAGCGAAUAGUUUCUGUAGUGUGAGAAACUGAUAGUGUAAAUAAGAGUUAAAAUGAUUAAAAUGAAUAAUUGAUAAUUUGAAAUAGGAAGAAAGGUCCAAAGACGAAGGAGUGAAGGGAGGGGAAGGGGAAAAGAAAAGAGGGAAAGGAAAAACUAUGAGAAAAGAAAAAAAAAUGGAAAUGAAAUCUAUGUAAAUAGGGAAGGGCGGAACGGGUGAAGGGCGCACUAGUAAUGGGGAAAAAAAAUAAGAACCAAGAUACAUCAUGUACAGAUACAAACACCCAAU
Molecule: long non-coding RNA, 2118 nt
Organism: Heterocephalus glaber (naked mole-rat)
Lineage: Eukaryota; Metazoa; Chordata; Mammalia; Rodentia; Bathyergidae
Source: Ensembl